GAUAGCUCAUUCAUAAGGUUGUUUACUGCUAGCAUGCUUAGUGGGGAGAAACCUACCCAAACAUUGCCCCCCUGCUACGAAAAGUACUACUGCAAAGCCAUGUAUGAAAACAACAGAUGGGGUGGGACAAUUCAAGGAUUUUGUUGAGAUUGGAAGAUAUUGAGAGAAAAUUGAAGGAAGAUUGGGAUCAUGUGUAAAGGUGGAACUGUCUCUCAAAUAAAGAGCAGUGUUUCGAAGGAACUGCUAGAAACUGUUACAAGAUGCUUUGUUGAUGUUCAAGCUCUACAAAAUCAUGACAUCCCAAGGUUUCCGGUGAAGGCAUUUCAUGGAUGGUAUCUGUAGUUGAAGACUUUCGAAUUGCACAUAUAAAGCUAAAGGUGCUAUUGGAAUCUUUUUACCGCUUGUAAUUCUCACAAAAUCCUCUCUUCAAAGUAAGUGUUGGUUAUAGAAUUUAAUUAAUUUUUGCAAAGAGUUUGGGCUGUAAUCUACAAUCAGGAAAGCGUACUGUUAGACUUAUUGGAGUCUUACAUAAAUUUGUAGGCUCAAUUUUUUUGACUUUUCAAAUAAUAAUUGUUAUGACAAUGAGAAUCUUAAGUUUUUCUUUAUGAGACAUUAAAGGUUUCCUCCAAUGUCAAGCUUACUCUUUUGAGUCCUUUGGAUGCUAAGUGUGAAAAGAAUGCAUAUGAGGGUGUGUUGCAACAAAUCCCAAGAAAUUAGUGAGCGUAUUGGAUUCUCUUUUUCCGAAUCUAGAUAUGAUUCACUUCCUCGUGAGGAUGUUAAUGCAAAACACCUAAUUUGUUGAAGGAUCUGGGAAAUUUUGACUGGAAAAUUACAAGUGACACCAGGAAACUUGUCUAUCACACUUUAAUCAAAUUGCUCGAGGUAUUUUCUUGGGAACCAAUACUAUGCCAUGAUAAUGUAGAUGUGGGAUGGUCUAGACUAUCAGAUAUGGAUGUUAACGAGGGAAAGCUUCUUGGAUGUUCAUACAAUCAAAGUUGUGUUGGCAUAUGGGUUGUGGACCUCUCUUGCAUUGAACCAUAUGCAAUUGCUAGUCCUAGAUUAAAUGAUCAUUCAGGCCAAAGUCUACAUCAGAUGGUAAUCCAUCUAUGCCAGCUGAUAACAUAAAGUCUAGUAUGAGGAGGUUAUCAAUAUUACAGAGUUUUGAAACAAAUUCUAAAGAGACAAAAUCAUUAUCAGCAACAGUCAUUGCUCCAGCCAGGUGCCCCUCAAAUAAUUGGGGCAUGUGCUAGCACGAUAGCACCUCUGACAGCACCACCAUCUGUAUCUUCCUUUGUAAAAAGAAGUUUAUCAAAAUUUCAGUCUACAUCUGACCUUCAGACUAGCAAAGCAGAUAUGGCACCUGUGAUUGUUCCAAGAACUAGCCCGAGGAUACACUUGCCCUCUGAUUUUACUAAAGACUUUGGGGUUGGUAAAACAAUGUCAUUUGAUAUCCAAUCAAAAUUUACUGAAUUUUGGAAGGUGUCAAACAUCAAAGAGAAUUUAGAUAAAACAGAUAUCCAUUCAGUCUGGGAGCAGUAGUAAUAUUGAACAAAAUGAAUUUCUGGGCCAGACUCCUAUUUCUUCUGGCAAUGCUGGAACUCAACAUGUGUCAGCUGAAGCAAAUAAUUUGGAUGGUGUUAAGAACUUGAUUAAAUAAAGGAUCAGGUCUAUCUAAUUCAUUCAAAGAGCCACAUUUGCACUUUGAUAAGGAAAAUUGGCACAAUUUCUGUUGUCGGCUUUUUGGCGUUUUAAAAAUAGUUGUUGGAACAUUGGUAGAACACAGUUUCUUAUUCCUUGGUGUUGGAGAGGUUUUACUCCUAAUCUCAAUUGGUUUAUUUGGUCUAUUGAAUGUGUUUAACACUUUAACUUUGAUUUUUUUUUCACUUGUGUAUUUUCUUGUGAACAUCUUAGUUUGCCAUUCUGGGAGUAUGAAUUCCUAUUUACUUAUGCUUCGUCCUUGUAUUUCAUAUUACAAAUCUUGUAAUGCAUAUAAUUAUAUGAGAAAUAGAUAUAGGAAGAUCAUGUCUAUUAGGAUUUUAUUUAUGAGGUGGGCUUCUGCUUUUUUAAAAAGAGGGUAGAAGAUAAUUUUUCCGAUUUUGUGGUUUGGAUAGAAAUCUACUGUUUGCCAUAAUUUCGCUAUGCUACUUAGUGUUAAGUGUACAUGUUACAUUUUAUGUGACUUUAAUUAUUGCACUAUGUAGGUACAUGUUUCAAGAGUAUUUUAACUAAUCUCAGUUAAAAUAUUUGUUCUGUUUAUACGAAUACUUCUUUAAAUCUUUUCCUUAUCUUGAUUAUCAAUACUGGCUGGUACCAUAGCUCUAGAGAUGUUAAAGCAGGUUUUGAACUUAGUCUUUUUAUUAUGUGCAUGAACAACGUUUUGGAUGUGAUGAUGAUAAUUUUAGAUAUUGGCAAAUUUUGGUUGUGGAUUUCUUAUGGUUGUUGUAGACAAAAGGUGCUCCAUUGGAAGAGACUCGCAAGAAGUUAUGAAUGGUCGAUUCUAAGGUAAGGAAGAGAAUCUUGGACCUUGGUUAUACUUAUUACAAGCAUACAACUUUUAAUUGUUUUACUUUGUUGUUCAUUGUUUGCAUUGUGAUACCCUUUAUGGGACUUAAUUAUGAGCUCACACAAGGAUUCCCUUCAACAUUUUAAGCAACCUUGGGCACAUGAUCAUGAACCUGUCAAUAAUCUUGUAGAUGUUAUCAAGGUAUUGCUGCCUCAAGUGCCAUUCUGGUUUCUUGGCAGGUGGUUUCAUGGGCUAAAUGUUUACUAUGCACUUGUAUAUUUUCUCUCUUACUAUGUGUGACUCUUAAGCUAUAUCAUUGUUGAUGAUAAGAAUGCUUUCUCCAA
Long non-coding RNA from Zingiber officinale, 2847 nucleotides. RefSeq lists it as uncharacterized. The transcript is spliced from 10 exons. The record is from RefSeq and is a predicted model, not a curated record. NCBI's taxonomy places the organism in Eukaryota, Viridiplantae, Streptophyta, Magnoliopsida, Zingiberales, Zingiberaceae.